GAUGAAGAACGUAGCGAAAUGAGAUAAGUAAUGUGAAUUGCAGAAUUCAGUGAAUCAUCGAAUCUUUGAACGCACAUUGCGCCCCCCAGUAUUCUGGCGGGCAUGCCUGUUCGAGCGUCAUUUCAACCAUCAAGCCCUGCUUGUGUUGGGGUCCUGCGGCUGCCCGCAGGCCCUGAAAACCAGUGGCGGGCUCGCUAGUCACACCGAGCGCAGUAGCACAUCUCGCUCAGGGCGUGCGGCGGGCUCCAGCCGUUAAAGCACCCACCUUUCGCAAGGUUGACCUCGGAUCAGGAAGGAAUACCCGCUGAACUUAAGCAUAUCAAUAAGCGGAGGA
RNAcentral lists this unclassified non-coding RNA (334 nucleotides) under soil metagenome. RNAcentral's name for it is "partial contains 5.8S ribosomal RNA, internal transcribed spacer 2, and large subunit ribosomal RNA". The stretch from base 1 to 120 matches the Rfam family "5.8S ribosomal RNA", at positions 35 to 154 of the family's 154-position model. The record is from RNAcentral.